Molecule: non-coding RNA, 8292 nt
Organism: Oryzias latipes (Japanese medaka)
Lineage: Eukaryota; Metazoa; Chordata; Actinopteri; Beloniformes; Adrianichthyidae
Source: RefSeq, a predicted model, not a curated record
ACCUCAAAUUUUCUAAACAAACACUUGAAUGAAACACACACGCGCCCUCUACUGGUCAAAGAGAUGCAAUGCACCUUGGCUCCUGUCAAGACAGCUGGUGAAUGCAAAAAUCUGAUUACUAAGGAUGAUCAGACAACCUAUCAUUAGAUCUGAUGAUUUUUUUAAACAAAUAUUAUAAAUCUGAUUGUAGAAAAUAGUUUAUAUGUUUUGAUAUAGUUUCAGAUUUUUUUCAUUGUGUAGACCUGCAACAUGCAGUCAAAACAACAACACAAUUUGAUCUCCAAAACCAUUUGUUUAAAAAUCUCAGGCCUGUUCUAAUAAGGGAGCUUAUAGAUUUGCCAAGUAGGCAACUAGUUGUCACCAUCUUCCCUUUAUUCUCAAUCAAAAAAAAGUAAUUAUUAAAGAAAUGAGAAUCCAAUAAAAACCAAUAAGUUACAGGAAAAUUCAAAAGAAAACAGAAGGUAAACAAGGUCUGAUGAGAAGUUCUUCCCAUGUUUGCUAUUGUUAAAAAAAAUCAGGUAACACUGUUUACAUUAUCUUUUUAAUAAUCUGAUAUUUUAAGAAGUUAGGUGAUGAAUAGAAUUUAGUGUGUAUAUACACAUUUACUUAAAAUGUAUCUCAUGGCCUGCAAAUAGUCUUUUUGUAUUGCAUAUUUUAAAGUGAACAUAUGUUGAAAAUAGCUUAGAUAUACACAUUGCAUCUUGUCCCCAAAAUAAAAAAAAGUCUUGGAAAAAAAUCAAGUGAGAAAAACACAAUUUUGUUAUUUUUUGAUACACAGUUGAGAUUAAAUGCAUGUUUAAUAAAAUAGCAAUAACUGUGCAGCUAAUCUAGUCAGACCAGAGGGUUAUGUGUCAUACAGAGGUCACAAUAAAUGCAAUUACUUCUAGUAACUUUUCUUGACUGACAUGGUGUAGGCUAACACAUCUAAAUGGAAGUAUUUUUCUUCAUUUUGAAAAAAAUUGUGAACCGAAAAAAAAGAAAGAAAUAUAUAUAUAAGUCUCCAAACAGUACUGGAAACUUCAUAACGUGAUGCCUCCAUAUGCAAACUGAUGCAAUGUUUGCAUAUAUGAAUUUAUAUUCUAUAUGUAUUUUUCUGUUAGUUAUACUAUCUGAUAGGGAAAAUGUGUUACAAAGGCCAGACACUUAGCCUUCCUGGAACUGACCAGCAGCUCCAAAUAUAUGACGGUUUUAUGGUUUAGACAAUGUCUGUCAUAAAGUUUAUUGUGGUAUGUGAGGGAAAUACAGCUUCAAUAAAAAGGGUAAUGUUUUUCCUGACACUGUUAAUGAUGAGAAUUUAUGAAUGGUUCACAGGUCAAAUUCAAGAGCAGUAUAGCUGCUCUUACUGUACAGCCAAUUUGUAUUUGCUUAGAGGUACUAAAGCCUUUUGUUGUGGGUAGUUUUUAUUUAAUUUUUGAUUUUGCAUGUAAGUACAUAAAAAACCUUUUUUCUGUUGAAAACCUUUGUAACGCUAAUUGAAGUUGAGAAAUCAGAAUUUCCUUCAUUGUCAUUAAAUGCACGAUGAAAUAAUGAUGCUCCGAAAAGUUAAAAAUAUGUAAAAGUCAGAAUUUGAAAUAGAAAAUACAUUUUAAUACAAAAAUCUAAAAUCUAAAGUCUAAAAAUAUAUUCAUCCAGUGUCACUAAAAGAUAAUAAUAGAGUGUGCUGAUGACCAUAUGAAGUAGUAUAGCACUGUAAAUAAUAAAUAACCUAUAAUUGCACUUCUUUAAACACAUCAACAUGAUGUACAUGAGCAAUGAUUAGAAAUAUUGAUAAAAACAACUAUUUAGUUCUUUAUUUUUCUGUGUUUCUGUCUUAGAACUAGCAGUUCACCCAACAAAUCUUUGAAUAUAUUGCACAGUUGAGCAAAAAAGUUUCUCGACAGCAGAGCACUUAUCUUUGAUAAUCCUUAUUCUGGACUUUAAUUUGUGAUAUCAUUUUUUUUUUACCAAUAACUGAUCUGGUUAAUGUUUUAGUUCCAAUAUUUUAAAAAUUAGACUUUUUCCUGCCUUCGAAUGUUUUUUUUUUGAGGUUUUGAAUUUGUUCAGGUCAUCAUUAUAUUAGUUAGGUAAAUAUAAUUUUUCUUUUUUUUGUUUUGCUAAACAGCCAAAGUUUUCAUGGUGUACAUGGAGAGUGUGUGAAAUGUGUAAUCAAAUAUGUGCACAUGUGAGCAUCACACAACUUUUUGGUAGUGAAGUAGGCAUUAUUUAAAUCCUCAGCCGCACUUUUCAUCACAAUAAUGGAACACUCUGCAAUCAUUUAAUUCAUUGCUGAGAGCCCACGUUUGAGACUUGCAGGGGCAAAAUGAGUCAACCAGGAAGUGCAGCGAGAGCAAACAGCAGUAUCAGCCUCUCACAGAUGUGGUUUGAUUGAUGCUCCAAGUACACCUUCUCGCCCUCACCUCAGGACAACAUGUUUGCUUGGUUGUUGAUCACACCCCUCAGUCUUCGUACCUAACUGCCCCCUGACACCAAGAUAUAUCAUUGGUCCCACACUCAGUUGGCUGCAAUGGACGUAUUGAUCCUUUGUGCUUGUGUGGAGGCCACUUUUUAUUUUCAGAAAAUACUUUGAAAGACCAUUAAAGUCAGUCUUUUGGUUCAUGAAGGGUCCAGCUUCAUUAGAGAUGUGAAAGCUUGGCCUUCAGCUCAGUUCACUUCUGGAUAAUUUUGAUUUUUAGCACAGUUCCCUCUUCAUUUACAUAAAAUGGAAUAAAAAAAAAAUCAUUCUUGGUUAACGAUCCUCAUAAAAAGCCUCGAUUUGCCCUGAUUUGCCAUAAAACUGUUCAAUUUUGUUCUUGAUUUUUUUGUGUGACAGAUGAGUGAUGGUAUCACCCGAAGGAAUAGAGAGGGAUGACAUUCUCGUCUGAGCUAUAAUGCAGCACUAACUGUAGAGCCACGAUUAAAUAAUUAACACAGAUUUUAUAUCCAUUUUACAAUCACAAAUUACGGUUUGCCGUAUAUCUGAGCAGCGGCCAGAAAGAACCGUGUCAGCAAAAAUUUCGUGUAUAGUAAAUCUCAUGCAGGAGGGGCCAGUGACUGUAAAUCAAGUGCUGCAAUGUGAAUAUAACCUUUUCCCUUCAUUAGCUGAAAAAAACCCCACAUCAUGAUAAACACUUGUGUGUUCAUUAAUCAGGUACAAUCUUUUUACUAUGCAUGUGUCUCUUUAGUGUCUUUAUGUUGAAACAUUAGCAUCAAGAGUUGUUUUUCUGGAAUUUUCUACAAAAAAAAACAUUUUCAGCAACGCAUCCUAAUGCUCUGUGCUGUCAGGAAUUGACACGAUCAUGCAUGGAUAAAAAUAAAACGACUGUUAUCAGAGGUCAUUGAAUGGAUAUUUAAAACAUAAAAAUCAGAAUGGACACAAAGUAGUGGAGCAAUUAUGAAGUGACCUCUAAAUGCAAAUCCAUUUCUCAAAUGUCUUUUGUUCUCAAUGUCCCCUAGAUGGCGCCAUGGUCCAUGAAAAGUGUGGAUCUUCUUGCAAAUCAUGGCUGUUAAGGUCGACCUUGUCCUGAGAAAGAGUAGAGUCGGCUCCAUGACUCCUCUGGGAACGCCCACCGGCAGUAACCUGGGCUUGGGCAGACGGACGUACGCAAGUGGAAAAUCUGAGGAAAUGGGGAUUCAGAGCAGGGAAACCAGGGAGUCAAUUUAGUCACUGUCUACUACCAUUUCACAUGCAAGUACAAAGCCAAUCUUACAUGUUGGUGUUGACUAGAAUCUCUCUCUGUGGAAUUUAGGGACAGAACAAUUCCUAGCAUCUGUUUCCUGUUCACUUGCAUGGAGGAAACUGAGUGUAAAUCACACCAAAAUAUAAAUAGAAUCAAUCUACAAAAGUUGAAGUUGGUUGGUGUGGCCCUGUAGUUGGAUUUUUUGAUUACUUCGAUUUAUGGGUUUGCUGUGGAAUAUAGAAGAAACGGACUCACAAGACAGCGGUUUGCUAAAAAAAAAGAGAAACAUUUUGUUCUCACUUUUAAACAAAUGACUUGCAGCUUUGGCAGGAUUGUCAUUCAAAAUCAGUAUAAAUAUAUGAAGCAUGAUAAAUAUGCAUACAAAACUUUUUCAAACCCACUGGAUAAAGAUGACAGGAAGUAAUUAUACAAAAUGGGACAAAUCCUAAAUAUUUUCAACCAAAUAAAUUUGCUAAAUUGAACAAUAUGUGCACAAUAUGUGGGAAAAACACAUUUCGAUAUGAAAAGUUUAUUUCUAAAAUCAGUCAAAUUUUUUUUACUUAGCUUGUUUUUAUCAUCCAAUUAAGAUUUUUUUUCAUUCAUAAAAUGUUCCAGAAUUAUGGCUUUUGUUUUCUUCACAUAAAAACAUUCCAUUUGGAAGAUUGAUAGUUUGAUCUCCAGCCCUUCCAUGAGUUGAAAUGUCCUUGAGCAAGACACAGAAUUGGCCACCAUAUGUUCACUGUUGCAUUGUUAUGAUGCAUUGAUUUAUUCAUAAGAAUGACUUUCUGUGUGUGAAAGAGAAACACUGCGUUAUUUAUAGAGUCUAAAUUAAGUUUAAAACAUGAAAAUUCUUUACAAAAUGUGAAAUAACACUUUCCUCACAGGGUAAAAAAAACCGAGACGUUCACUGCAUUAAAGUCCAAGGAGAAGACACAGACAGCGUGUGGUUUAAUAAAAGCCUUUAUUUACUGCUGCUCAGCAGAAAACAACAGUGUUGUGUAUCCCUCUGGCACUAAUUGACUGCCUGCAGCAGAAACAAACUCACUCCUCUCCACCACAGUUGUCUCAGGUGUAAUAAGCACUUGUUUCUCUCUGUGUAUUUCUGAAUUCAUUGGCUUCUACAAACAUGUAUUCAAUUUGAUAUAAGGUGAUUGUAUUAUAAAAUGAAGAUUAGUGUCCCCCUCUCCUGACUUCUCCGUUACAGUAAUCGGUGGUACUCCACAGAAGUUGUGUGCGGUCCAUGCUGGGCUUGUCCCUUCUUCCUGGGUGAGGAAUAAUACAGGGGGUAGGUGCAGGGAGACAAGGGAGAGACAUCUUCCCUUAAUUCCCUUGCACUGGCAACAAAAGACCACAAAAGUGCUGCUUUCACAUUUUUAUGUGGCCCGACGUUGAGCUCCCAGCAGAAGGAGACAAAGGAACGGCGGGAUGAUGAAGUCCCGAGCAUUGCAGGGCAGGUGUUUCCUCUGUCUCCUGGGAGCUGUGGAGCACACCUGCCCAGUACUAACGCACUGUGAUGGAUCAGUGUGGCAGUGGCUGACUCAGCUUUUCAAAAGCUCUAACCGGGAUUAGAGCUCAGAGGACCUGAUUGAAGCACACUGUCAUCCCACAAACAAUAACACACAUCCAUCUUGGACGGCAGGCUUUCCUUUCUCCCCUGCGUCUUCACCGAGAACGAUUGUGGUGUUGAUAGUAAGCGGUGUAGUGUAUUGAACGAGAGGAAACAUUUCAGCAGACAUGUAAUCAAAUGGCACCUUUUGGAUUCUUAGGUGCUUCUGAACACAAAAACACAAGGAGUCAUGAGCACUUAAAUACGCUCACAUAGGAGUACGUCUCCACACCAAUUUUUUUUUUUUUUUUGAAUGAGAUGAUGUUCUAUUUAAAGACGAGCGCUCCAAAGUGUGGUCCCAGGAGUCAGUGACUAAUGUAGUGUAAUAGCCAAUGCUGGCAUGGUGCAACUCGUCCCAAGCAAAUCCUCCCUAGUCUUUUAUCCAGUUAGAGUGUGAUUACUAUCAAUAUAUAUCAACUCACUGAUAGACUUUACAGAAAUCAACGUCAAUCAUAGCACAUUAUGAUCACAAGUAAUUAGUUAUUCUAUUCUAUAGUUGUUGAUGUUUUUGCAUUUAUUUAAAAAUUACAGCGUUUAUCUUUACAUUUGCCUCUUAUAUUUUUUUUUAUUCCCCACUAAUUAAAAUCAUAAUGAUCAUUAUGGCCCCUGCAUGUUCCCAAAAUCCUGCUCCUGGAAUUUAAAAGAUCACAUGCAAUGCUUGGAUGUGACUUUGGAGGGAGCCUUAAGCACUAGAAAAUGAUGGUGAAUUUGAAAACAAAGACCCAAGAAAACUGAAGAGUAUUUCUUUAUUAAACACCUCAGUUUACAGAACAGUUAAUUUACUUAAAUAAUAAAAUUGAAAUCUUUAAAAGUGAACUGAUGAUUGGCUUUAAAAUAUAUAUUUAUGUUUUAUUGUUUCAAUUAAAUUAAAAAUAGCUAUAGCACAGCAUGCAGCAAUAUUCCACUUGCUUACCCAUGAAAUGAUUUAAAUACACUCCAAAUAGUUUUUUAAGUAAUAUUCUCAGGGGUGAAAAAAAGACAAUAUCUAGAAAGAGCAUGCUAUUUCAUCUGCUGGUGGGAUAUGAGAAGAUUUUCUGCUCCUCCGCCCAGCAACCAAAGCUUCCUUAUCUUGUCCUCAUCUGCAUAAACUGUACAAACAAGUGAAACAAGUGGGCCACUUGCCCCACGUGGACCGCCCAGUACAUCCAAUGUACUCACAUGCAGUCGCUGCUUGUUUUGCACUGUGUGCUGCUAAUACACAUGAAUGUAUGAAGCUGCUGCAGGGGGGUGACAUGUGCCUUGUCCAGGUGGCAAUGACAGAUUUAGAGGAUGUUGUGGACAAAGGCUGGCCUAUGGAGGAUAUGUGUGACAUGUAACAUGUAGCAGGGGUGUGGACUGAUGACAUCCUCUGUUUAAUGAGCAGAGACGAUGUUAAAGUGAGCUGCCUGCCGCAGAGAGCUGUAAAUCUGCCCCCUAUCACUGCUGCUCUGCUAAUACAGGAAGUAUUAUCUAAUAAGUGCAACAAGGAGGGCUAAUUUCAUUGGAGCUGAUACCCCCCACAUGCAAGUCUUGGCCUCCUUGAGGUGGAGAGGGUAGCCCUAUUAGGAAAUUGUAUCACUGGGAAGCAAAAGUAGGGUGAGAUUUGUAGGACCAGCAGUGGCUGACACACGUCUCCCUUUAAGUUGUCUACUGCUGAGCUUUCUAAACUCAAACAGACGUAUCCCAGAUGCUUGGUUAACCUGCAUGGGCUGCCAUCGUCUCAUUCCUAGACCAUAUAGGAACUCUAAAGGACCUCUGUUUCCCUGCCCCCUGUUCUGCCCUGUCUAACCCUGAUUUGUGGAGUGCUGGUGUCAAAGGGGGGUACUUUGUAGAUGUUGUGCUCUCUUUACCUGUUUCCCCACAGCAGAAGCAAUAAAUGUCACUGAAUGACGCUUUCUGGACUGUCUCACGCCAAUUGCUGUAAGUUUCUCAAGUAGAUAUUACAAGUAAGGUAUGUUGUUCACUCUUUUAUAUCAUAUUUUGGUACACACAUUUCUGAGACCUCUAUCUCAUUAGCACGAUCAAAACGUUCCUUAAAAACCCAUAACUUGGUCCAUGUUUUCUACGCUGUUGUAGAACAUCAUUCCUCAUGAGGGGCAGUAGAAGGACCUGUCCUGCUCAGUUCAAACUGGCUGGGUCCAUGAAAUCUCAAGACAAAUUGGGCAGAAAAGGGUUUUGUUCAUUUUCAAAACUUUAUGGUGAGAAUAACUCAUAUAUUGGUGUUCAUCUUUUGAAAGAAUGCACAAUUUGUUUAUGAUUCAUUCUUUAUAAUACAGUUACAUAAUGUUUAAAAUGAGCAAAUCAAAUUUGAGACAGUGGGUAAAUGAUUUGCUUUUUCUUCUUGAGCACUCAUGUCAAUAUUACUGGAUUUUAAACCAACAUUGUUGUGAGCCAAAACUGACAAAAUUAUCAAAUGCAACAUAGUUAAAUUUAUAUUUUAUAAAAAAAGCAUUAUUUUUGUGGAUUUUAUUAAAUAAACAUCUUAAUAAAAAAUUCUGGCAACUCUUUCAUGUAGUGGUCAUUACAGGGUUAAUGUCAGUUUUAACCAAUCACAGAAUUCUAAAUAAAACCCUAGUUCUUAUGGCUCAUUUAUUAAAAGCAAGACUUUUUUUUGGUAUGUCUGACAUUUGCAGUAAUGGGACUGUGUUUCUGAGUUUUCCUCCACUGAGCAGGGGGUAAUUGCUGACUAGUCUUUUAACCUUAUUAAAACAUCCAGCGGAGGUGUUGGUGAGAAGAUGAAGUUGAUGAUACUGCACCUCCUGUGUUUUCAGAAAAGAAAGAUGCUGACUGCACUUCAUCCCUGGGAUUAUACACCAAAUUUAAGCAAAGCUGCCACAGCUAAUUAAGGAAAAGGAAGCGCUGUGACAAUCACCAUGGGAGGGAGAUCGGGCUUUACUCAGGGUGUUCUCUCAUUAUUACAUAUAUGUAUAUUUUUCCUGAGAUAAUAAUGCCACUUCUCUUUGCAGAGUUGUUAUUGCGACUGUUUUGGUUAUUGUUUUUACAACCCUGCAAUGUGGCAACUAUCAAUAAAAUUUAUACGAUCUUUAUGCA